GACGAACGCUGGCGGCGUGCCUAAUACAUGCAAGUCGAACGAGAGCGACCGGUGCUUGCACUGGUCAAUCUAGUGGCGAACGGGUGAGUAACACGUGGGUAACCUGCCCAUCAGAGGGGGAUAACAUUCGGAAACGGAUGCUAAAACCGCAUAGGUCUUCGAACCGCAUGGUUUGAAGAGGAAAAGAGGCGCAAGCUUCUGCUGAUGGAUGGACCCGCGGUGCAUUAGCUAGUUGGUGAGGUAACGGCUCACCAAGGCCGUGAUGCAUAGCCGACCUGAGAGGGUGAUCGGCCACAUUGGGACUGAGUCACGGCCCAAACUCCUACGGGAGGCAGCAGUAGGGAAUCUUCCGCAAUGGACGCAAGUCUGACGGAGCAACGCCGCGUGAGUGAAGAAGGUUUUCGGAUCGUAAAACUCUGUUGUUAGAGAAGAACAAGUGCUAGAGUAACUGUUAGCGCCUUGACGGUAUCUAACCAGAAAGCCACGGCUAAUUACGUG
RNAcentral lists this ribosomal RNA (498 nucleotides) under uncultured bacterium. Its description in RNAcentral is "partial 16S ribosomal RNA". It matches the Rfam family "Bacterial small subunit ribosomal RNA", at positions 28 to 507 of the family's 1533-position model. The record is from RNAcentral.